UACGUAUGGUGCAAACGUUGUUCGGAAUCACUGGGCAUAAAGAGCACGUAGGCGGUCUAGUAAGUCUGAUGUGAAAUCCCUCGGCUUAACCGAGGAACUGCAUCGGAUACUGCUGGACUCGAGUGCAGGAGGGGAGAGUGGAAUUCCUGGUGGAGCGGUGAAAUGCGUAGAUAUCAGGAGGAACGCCGGUGGCGAAAGCGACUCUCUGGCCUGUUACUGACGCUGAGGUGCGAAAGCCAGGGGAGCAAACGGG
Molecule: unclassified non-coding RNA, 253 nt
Filed under: uncultured Planctomycetota bacterium
Lineage: Bacteria; Pseudomonadati; Planctomycetota
Description: uncultured planctomycete contains 16S-23S intergenic spacer region
Rfam family: Bacterial small subunit ribosomal RNA
Source: RNAcentral